Molecule: ribosomal RNA, 240 nt
Filed under: uncultured bacterium
Lineage: Bacteria
Description: partial 16S ribosomal RNA
Rfam family: Bacterial small subunit ribosomal RNA
Source: RNAcentral
AGCGUUGUUCGGAUUUACUGGGCGUAAAGGGCGCGUAGGCGGCUUGAUAAGUCACUUGUGAAAUCUCCGGGCUUAACUCGGAACGGCCAAGUGAAACUGUCAUGCUAGAGUGCAGAAGGGGCAAUCGGAAUUCUUGGCGUAGCGGUGAAAUGCGUAGAUAUCAAGAGGAACACCUGAGGUGAAGACGGGUUGCUGGGCUGACACUGACGCUGAGGCGCGAAAGCCAGGGGAGCAAACGGG